AUUCAGGCAUGAGAAGAGGAUAAAUCAAGGAAAUUUACUCAUAUAGGUGGUUCAUGGCUUCAGUAAUGAGGACACAUCAAUGUGGGACAUGUUCUUUAUUGUUUGUGAAGAACUGAUGGUUCAUCUUUUGGAAAAACACAAACCAGCUGUCAAAAGGCCUUUAUUUGUGCAAUAGUUCAGAUUACAGCACCAUUGGGCAACCCCUGUGAAGGAUCAUCCACUUUAACUUUCUGAGAUGCUGGUAUUUCAUCACUUUUGCUGAGGUUCCAGGUGGUUUGGUUCUCUGGAACUGACAAUGGCCCCUUACCAGGUCUGCUUCUGAUUCGAAUAAGCAGAGUGAAAGAAAAGCUUUCUUCUCAGUGCACCUGGGCAGUCCCAUAUGCCAAGAGGCCAUGGAGGACAACGGUGAAGCAUGGGGAUUCCAGGGUCAAUCUGGGUUUUAAUUUGCCCUCCAUCACCUAUUUGCUAUGUGAAUUGGGCUAUUUGCUUGACUAGUCAGUGCUAAAUUUCCUUUCCUGAAAUAAGGGGUAAUCAUAAUACCUGGAUCAUAGGUCAUUGGUGGGUUAAAUUUAUUUAUUCAACAAACAUUUAAAGGAUGCUGCUAAUUGUCAAGUAUACUUGC
This 622-nucleotide long non-coding RNA is filed under the name Homo sapiens (human). RNAcentral's name for it is "HSALNT0321376". Lineage: Eukaryota; Metazoa; Chordata; Mammalia; Primates; Hominidae. The record is from RNAcentral.